CCCACAACAAGCGAUAACAGUCCCAGCAGUCUGGAAAAGCAGAAGUUUGCUUUCGUCUGUACAGUCAAGUCUAGACGGGUGGAAGACAGACGGCCUGCUGAGGCUUUCGGCUAAUGAUUCUGGACUUGCUUCAGUUAAGAAAGACCAAACAGAGAGCUCUGUCUUCCUUCACACUCCUCUGACAGCGCGUUGAGAGGACGGCUCUGUUUCGGCUGUCUCUUAACCUUUGAACCUCUCGCUGUGAAUGUACAGAAAUACAUCACAACAUACUGUCUUCAGGAUGGGAGCCACAUCCUCCUAUUGUUGUUGUUGUAUAAGAGAUCAGAAGCCCACAGAGAAGGAAGCUCUACUGUGCUACACGGCAGUAAAAAACAGACGUAAGAAAGUAUGUUUACAUUGCUUCACGAAUGUGGAUUCUUAGAUAAACCAGUACAAAGACCUCAAACUGCAGAUUCUUGUAUAGUAGCAGACGCUAAAGUUUCCAAGAAAGGAUCAAGGAAACACGCAAAAACGUCAGGUGGGCUCCAGCGCCUUCGUGAAGAGCGAGAGGUCAGGAUUUCCCCUCGUUCUUCCGUCUGAAACUCAACACCGUCCCAACAGGGCCGUUAUCACACAAACAUCUGCAGUCUGAGCAGAUCGAGCCCUGGAACAGAAGCACUGAUGUCCAGCUGGACUGAACGCGAUAGAUUGUUUGUAGCGAGUGAUGACGGGUUACAGACAUCAGGAUACACAGAGAACUCAAUGUUCAGAGAUCCAGAUCAUUAACCCCUGUAACCCUGACUAAAAGAUAAAACUGAACACACUUUAACUACAAUACUACACUUCAUCUAUUUAUUUACUGAUGUUGUGCGUGUCAGAAUGUUUGUUGUGUUUUUAACAUAUAGAAAAAAAAUCUUUAUAGAUUGAUAAUGCACAAUCGCUUACAUUUACUGUACCUACGAAUCAACACAUGACAUUCAGCCUUGCUUUCAGAUAAUGUAUCUUCAGUUGAAGUACAAGCAGAUUUAGUCACUUGUAUUCACUUGUUUAUACCGCAAGAAAUGUAUUACGGAUUCAUUAUG
Triplophysa dalaica is the source of this 1061-nucleotide long non-coding RNA. RefSeq lists it as uncharacterized. The transcript is spliced from 3 exons. The record is from RefSeq and is a predicted model, not a curated record. Lineage: Eukaryota; Metazoa; Chordata; Actinopteri; Cypriniformes; Nemacheilidae.